Molecule: small nuclear RNA, 107 nt
Filed under: Sus scrofa (pig)
Lineage: Eukaryota; Metazoa; Chordata; Mammalia; Artiodactyla; Suidae
Source: RNAcentral
GCACUCGCUUUGGCAGCACAUACACUAAAAUUGGAAGGACACAGAGAAGAUUAGCAUGGCCCCUGAGCAAGGAUGACACACAAAUUCUUGAAGUGUUCCAUAUUUUU